GUGCACCAGGCUCCUUUGCAUUAGGAGCCUUUCCCUUAGUGGGCGUGUAGCGCUGAACCACAUCCAGACACAUUCUUCUUCUCUCUGCAGGUCCUCACCCUCUCUCCCAGCAGUCAGGUUACUAGUGAGGACUCUGCAUUGCCUAAGGGAGUUUUUCCUGCCUCCCCGAAGUGACCCACGCUGGCGUGGUCACUUCUACGGCCUUCAAGCUCUCAAGCCUGGAUCUUCAGCCUUCCGGCCAUCUUCUACGUCCUAUCCUGGAAGGACAGAAAAAAAAAACACUGAUGCCUGGGGGGAGGAGGCAGAGGGUUAGACGACAUGGCAACAUGGUGUUCACAUAAAAAAUACCCCAGGCUGGUGCAUUUUUCAGAGAACAGAAGCCCUAUCCCAGGAUCUAAGUUCAUUUAUGGAGAUGGAUGGAAUCAAUCAUUUUACUUUUCUGGACUGAUGCACAGAGAAGACUUGAAAGAUUUGCAUUUGAAGAAAAUUACUUAAGUUUAAAGAAAAAAACAACAGUGAAAUUCAAAUCUGCUUGAUCAAUCAAUCAAUCUGUAUCAAUGGGAUGAGAAUAUCUGUUCCAAAUGUAUCUUGGCCCUAUCCCAAAAAUUGUAUGAAACCUAAUUUUUAAUCUGAUAAGAUUUGCACCAAUUUUCUGCAAUAGUCUGAAAGAUGGCCAGAAACCUACAUAUAUUUCCUUUUUCAAACUUAAGGGCACAUUUAUCAAGGGUCGAAUUUAUGUUCGAGUUUUUUUCAACUCCCAUGAACACAAAAUUUAUUAUAAAAAUCAAUUUUCUUUUUAAACUCAGGUGAAUAGGAUAGACUCGAAAACUUGAAUCUAAUUUAAAUCGAAUUCGAUUUGAAUUUUAAAAACUUGAUUCGAAUUUUUUCUCUGAAAACAUUUGAAUGUCAGGAAGGCUGCAAACAUCACCAAAUUGAUCCCUGGACCUCUCCCACUGACUUAUACAGCAAUUUGGCAGGUUUUAGGUGGUGAAUAGUCUAGUUUAAGAGUAUUAUACAUCUCAAAAUUCCAAUUCAAUUUUUUUUAAAAACUCAAAUAUAAUUCGAAUUUGACAGUUUUGGCAAAAAUUGUAAUUUGAAAUUCGGCCCUUCAUAAAUCUGCCCCUUAAAGUGCUUCUGAAGACCCAUCUUUAAAAAUAUGCCAGUCUUACAAUACCGAUAUCUCAUAAUGAACACAUAAUUGAACACUUCACCCUAAAAAACGAUUUACUUUUCAGUCAUUGCAAGUUCUUGCACACAAAGCCCUGUAAAAAUAAAUUUAUUCUCUGAAUCUUCUCUGUUCAUUUUUUGUCUCAUUUGCUUUGUUAUAAAACACUGUGUAGCUUGAUGGUGCUUUAUAAACAAUUGAUGAUGAGACGAUAGGCCCCAUAGCAACCAGUCACGGAGCGCUUGCAACCAUAGGAUUUUUGUGCAGAGUGUGCAAGGAGAGAAGCACAACACUGUGGGCAUAAGGUAGCUCUCUA
Xenopus laevis (African clawed frog) is the source of this 1481-nucleotide long non-coding RNA. RefSeq lists it as uncharacterized. Lineage: Eukaryota; Metazoa; Chordata; Amphibia; Anura; Pipidae. The transcript has 3 exons. The record is from RefSeq and is a predicted model, not a curated record.